RNAcentral lists this ribosomal RNA (468 nucleotides) under uncultured bacterium. RNAcentral describes it as "partial 16S ribosomal RNA". It matches the Rfam family "Bacterial small subunit ribosomal RNA", at positions 28 to 507 of the family's 1533-position model. The record is from RNAcentral.
GACGAACGCUGGCGGCGUGCUUAACACAUGCAAGUCGAACGGAAAGGCCCUGCUUUUGUGGGGUUCUCGAGUGGCGAACGGGUGAGUAACACGUGUGUAACCUGCCCUUUACUUUGGGAUAACUUCUGGAAACUGGGGCUAAUACCGGAUAGGAGCUCCUGCUGCAUUGUGUGGGUUGGAAAGUUUUGGGGGUUGGGGAUGGACUCGCGGCUUAUCAGCUUGUUGGUGGGGUAGUGGCUUACCAAGGCUUUGACGGGUAGCAGGCCUGUGAGGGUGACCGGGCACAAUGGGACUGAGAUACGGACCAGAGGGCAACGGGAGGCAGCAGUGGGGAAUAGUGCACAAUGGGCGGAAGCCUGAUGCAGCAACGCCGCGUGCGGGAUGACGGCCUUCGGGUUGUAAACCGAUGUCGACUGAGAAGAAGAGUGAGUGACGGUAAUGGGUAAAGAAGCAACGGCUAACUACGUG